RNAcentral lists this ribosomal RNA (224 nucleotides) under uncultured Acinetobacter sp. Its description in RNAcentral is "partial 16S ribosomal RNA". It matches the Rfam family "Bacterial small subunit ribosomal RNA", at positions 568 to 792 of the family's 1533-position model. The record is from RNAcentral. Lineage: Bacteria; Pseudomonadati; Pseudomonadota; Gammaproteobacteria; Moraxellales; Moraxellaceae.
UGCGUAGGCGGCUUUUUAAGUCGGAUGUGAAAUCCCCGAGCUUAACUUGGGAAUUGCAUUCGAUACUGGGAAGCUAGAGUAUGGGAGAGGAUGGUAGAAUUCCAGGUGUAGCGGUGAAAUGCGUAGAGAUCUGGAGGAAUGCCGAUGGCGAAGGCAGCCAUCUGGCCUGCACUGACGCUCAUGCACGAAAGCGUGGGGAGCAAACAGGAUUAGAUACCCGAGUA